AUUGAACGCUGGCGGCACGCCUAACACAUGCAAGUCGAACGGCAGCACGGAGAGUAGCAAUACUUUUGGGUGGCGAGUGGCGGACGGGUGAGUAACGCGUAGGAAUCUACCCUAGAGAUGAGGAUAACUUGGGGAAACUCAAGCUAAUACUGAAUACGCCCUUAGGGGUAAAGGUUGCGCAAGCAGCCGCUUUAGGAUGAGCCUGCGUUAGAUUAGCUAGUUGGUGGGGUAAAGGCCUACCAAGGCGACGAUCUAUAGCUGUUCUGAGAGGAAGAUCAGCCACACUGGGACUGAGACACGGCCCAGACUCCUACGGGAGGCAGCAGUGGGGAAUCUUGGACAAUGGGGGCAACCCUGAUCCAGCGAUGCCGCGUGUGUGAAGAAGGCCUUAGGGUUGUAAAGCACUUUAAUGAGGGAGGAGUAGGGUUCGUUGAAUAGGCGGAUCUGAGGACGUUACCUCAAGAAUAAGCACCGGCUAACUCUGUGCCAGCA
RNAcentral lists this ribosomal RNA (492 nucleotides) under uncultured bacterium. RNAcentral's name for it is "bacterial SSU rRNA". It matches the Rfam family "Bacterial small subunit ribosomal RNA", at positions 30 to 513 of the family's 1533-position model. The record is from RNAcentral.